AAACCACGCCCCUUUCUGCCGAAGCUGGCCCCUCAACCAUGGAUGAGAGCUCAAACAUACCGUGUGAGCUUAACCUGCUCCAUCCAAAUGUCCUACAAGUGACAAUGAUGUCUAAUAAAUCUGAAAGGUACACGGGCCAUAAAGUGUGAUGGACAACUUGUGUUGGUGCCUCAAGGUCCAUGGUAAAGCUGACUUCGAAAGGUCAGAGGGAGAGAGACGGGGCUCCUUGGCUGCACCAGAGGAGCAGAAUUCGUUUUUACUAGAGGAAGCAUAGCGGUGGAAGGGGGGCGAUGAGGGUCUUCUACUGAGGCCCAAAAAUUCUCUUUGGAAAGUGACCAUCAGUAAACCCCCCAUCCAUCUUAUUGUGUUCAUUAAAGAGUUAAUGCGAAGA
Trematomus bernacchii (emerald rockcod) is the source of this 391-nucleotide long non-coding RNA. RefSeq lists it as uncharacterized. The transcript has 4 exons. NCBI's taxonomy places the organism in Eukaryota, Metazoa, Chordata, Actinopteri, Perciformes, Nototheniidae. The record is from RefSeq and is a predicted model, not a curated record.